AGUAAGGUGGCUGAUUAAGGUAUUAAAUUGUAAAUUUAAUUAUGGUUAUUUAACCUCUUAUUA
RNAcentral lists this transfer RNA (63 nucleotides) under Nogodinidae sp. Its description in RNAcentral is "tRNA-Tyr". The record is from RNAcentral. Lineage: Eukaryota; Metazoa; Arthropoda; Insecta; Hemiptera; Nogodinidae.